GAGGACAGCGGUUCUGGUUACAGCAAUCACAGUAGCAGGUGGUCCAAAAGGGUAUCCUCCUUUCUUGGUCCUGUUCAGCUGACGGAUAUACACCUUGUCACCGGGCUGGUAUGAAUGAGUAGGUUCCUGUGAAGGUAAGGGAAAACUGCGAAGAAACAUUGUCAUACAUACCAUUCGAUUUUAUCAACAAUUCCUGUACAUAUUGUUCUUGUAUAAGCUGUAAAUCCCCAGACAUUAUAACAAGCGGUUCCCUGGCCCAGGGUGUGGGAAAAGGUCAUCCCAUCAAAAAUCUCAGAUGGAGAUAAUUUAGUCACCUUGUGAGGAAUCACUCUUAUCUCAGCUAAAAUAGCUGGUAGAUAUCUAGUCCAAUUUUCCCAUGUUCCUGGGUAAAUUCUGGGCUUUUCCUUAAUAGUCCUAUUCAUCCUUUCAACUACCCCUGUAUUCUGUGGAUGAUAGGGUAUAUGAAACUGCCAGGUAACUUGCAAGAAUUUAGCAAGUUCCUGGGCAACCUUACUGGCAAAAACCGGGCCAUUAUCAGAGCCAAUCUGCAGAGGGCAGCCAUACCUGGGAAUAAUUUCAGUAACAAUAAACUUCACUAGAAUCUUCCCUAGAUAUCACAAAGGCCUCAUGCCAUCUACUAAACUGAUUAACUAUGACCAGUAAGUAUUGCUGUUUCUUACCAAUUUUGGAUACAUGAAUAAAAUCAAUCUGUAAGUGUGUAAAAAGAGCAGUGUUCACACGAUCUUACAAAAGACUGUACAUGCUGCCUGAGAUUCCUAAUAUAAAAUGAAUUCAUGAGGAAUUGAAUGGUGCUUGCUAUGUGCCUGACU
This is a non-coding RNA of Pelobates cultripes (western spadefoot toad), 830 nucleotides long. The record is from the annotation of a GenBank genome assembly. NCBI's taxonomy places the organism in Eukaryota, Metazoa, Chordata, Amphibia, Anura, Pelobatidae.